GAUGAACGCUGGCGGCGUGCCUAAUACAUGCAAGUCGAGCGAACGGACGAGAAGCUUGCUUUUCUGAUGUUAGCGGCGGACGGGUGAGUAACACGUGGAUAACCUACCUAUAAGACUGGGAUAACUUCGGGAAACCGGAGCUAAUACCGGAUAAUAUUUUGAACCGCAUGGUUCAAAAGUGAAAGACGGUCUUGCUGUCACUUAUAGAUGGAUCCGCGCUGCAUUAGCUAGUUGGCAAGGUAACGGCUUACCAAGGCAACGAUGCAUAGCCGACCUGAGAGGGUGAUCGGCCACACUGGAACUGAGACACGGUCCAGACUCCUACGGGAGGCAGCAGUAGGGAAUCUUCCGCAGUGGGCGAAAGCCUGACGGAGCAACGCCGCGUGAGUGAUGAAGGUCUUCGGAUCGUAAAACUCUGUUAUUAGGGAAGAACAUAUGUGUAAGUAACUGUGCACAUCUUGACGGUACCUAAUCAGAAAGCCACGGCUAACUACGUG
RNAcentral lists this ribosomal RNA (497 nucleotides) under uncultured bacterium. Its description in RNAcentral is "partial 16S ribosomal RNA". It matches the Rfam family "Bacterial small subunit ribosomal RNA", at positions 28 to 507 of the family's 1533-position model. The record is from RNAcentral.